RNAcentral lists this RNase P RNA (402 nucleotides) under Spirochaetaceae bacterium. RNAcentral describes it as "RNase P RNA component class A". It matches the Rfam family "Bacterial RNase P class A". Rfam says of the family: Ribonuclease P (RNase P) is a ubiquitous endoribonuclease, found in archaea, bacteria and eukarya as well as chloroplasts and mitochondria. Its best characterised activity is the generation of mature 5'-ends of tRNAs by cleaving the 5'-leader elements of precursor-tRNAs. Lineage: Bacteria; Pseudomonadati; Spirochaetota; Spirochaetia; Spirochaetales; Spirochaetaceae. The record is from RNAcentral.
AGCGAUGAACCGCCGCCGCGGUAUCAUGGCGCGGCCAUGGUACUGAGGAAAGUCCGGGCUCCGCAGGGCAUGAUGCCGGCUAACGGCCGGGGGAGCCGCGCUGUUGUUUCGACAGCGGUGUGGCUUUACAGACAGCGCAACAGAAAGUAUACCGCCGUUCCGGCGCUUGGGCGGCGGAACGGUAAGGGUGAAACGGCGGGGUAAGAGCCCGCCGCGGGACUGGCGACAGUUCUGGCAAGGCAAACCUCAUCAGGAGCAAAGCUAAACAGCGGUUGGGUGCCCUCCCGGUAACCGCGGGUAGGCUGCGUGGAAGCCGCCGGUAACGGCGGUUCAAGAUAGAUGGCGGCGCUUCCGAAAACUUUUCGGAAGGCACAGAAUCCGGCUUACGGUUCAUCGCUUUUU